GGCAGCCAUCCACACACACCCGGCACCCUAGAAGAGGCCCCCGACCCCGCAGCCUCCUCCCGAACCCUAGCCGCCUCUCCUCCCUCUGCCCCGCUCACACCCGUCGUCGUCCGCGACCCCAUGGCCUUCUCGCCGUGAAGCUCGCGCCCUCCGUCGAUCCCGUGCCCGGAGUCCAUGUCCUGCAGCUCCGUCAGCCUCCUCUACGUCGUCUACGACCACCACCUCGAGCUCUAUGCCUCUACAUCGCCGGGAUCGACGUCGUCUUCCUCACCUACAGCCGCCGUUGCCUCAUCCGAUCUACCUCACCGGAGCUCCUCCGCCCCGUCCGACGCGUCCUCCGCCUUCCCCUAUGAUGGAGCCCAGGAGAUGGAGGUCCCAGCCACAGACGACUGCUACCCCGACGGUGCCUACUACUACGUGGAGGCCGCUGAUGAUCAGGAGUAGUUAGGAGGUUCCCAGGCAGGAGGCCUCGCCUCGUUCGAUCGUUGUAUCUUUUGAGCUAGCCUUCUCUAAGGCACCCCAUGUUUUAUGUCUGUACUCAGAUAUUUGUUGCUUCCGCUGACUCGUGUGCUUAUCGAGCUUUCGUAUUCUAGCCCUCGAGGCCCCUGGCUUGUAAUAUGAAGCUGAUGUUAUUUUCA
This is a long non-coding RNA of Hordeum vulgare subsp. vulgare (domesticated barley), 638 nucleotides long. RefSeq lists it as uncharacterized. The transcript has 2 exons. The record is from RefSeq and is a predicted model, not a curated record. Lineage: Eukaryota; Viridiplantae; Streptophyta; Magnoliopsida; Poales; Poaceae.